CAGAAUCAAGUCAAAUGUCUUUAAAUAUCUGUGCUCAGAGUUUCCCAGAGCAACCAGCACUGCUCACCAUUGCCCUGCACUGUUCUGCACUGUUCUGCAUGUCAGAGCCAGAGUGGAAGUGGGAGCAGUGGUGAAGGAAGAGUUCAGACAGAGCAGCUCCUCAGCGCUGUGUGAAAUGAGUGCACACGGCUGCACUGUCAGACUGUUAGAGAGUUAAAGCCUGGCAGCAGCACUUUCACACUGCUGAGGAACAGCAGGAGAACUUUAAGAUCCAGAAAACCACAAACUGGGGCAGAAUGAAUGGACCCUUGAGUCCGAGGCGAGAACCAGGGCCUGACCUCUCCUGUCUGCAGCAGUACAGCGAGUGGCUGUCCUGCAGGCAUGAAGCCAGCCUACUGCCCAUGAAGGAGGACCUCGCUCUCUGGCUUAACACCAUCCUGGGGCUGAAUAUAACAGCGGAGAACUUCAUGGAUGUGCUGGAGAAUGGAGCGGUUCUCUGCCAGCUGGCUGAAGAGCUCCAGGAGAGGAUGAUUCUGGUCAACAGUGGCAAGCUACCCAAUCCUGGGCAUCCCUUUAUUCGGCGUGUGAUUCGCUGGCGAGCUGAUGCCGCCCCGGGUUCCUUCUUUGCCCGGGACAACACGGCCAACUUCCUGUACUGGUGCCGAAAAGUUGGGGUGGGCGAGUCUCAUCUCUUUGAGUCAGAGGAUCUGGGUGAGUAUGGAAUUGACGCCCCAGGUCUGGUCAAACUGGAGCGAGAACUUGAGAAAGAAGAGAAUGGUUCACUCUCUCCAUCCAUGUUCUUCGCCUCGCCGUUACCGUCUCCCUCCUCUCCACCACUUCUGUUCCGUCCUGCUCCAUCACCCUCUCCUCCUCUCCCAGUGAAGCAGAUCUCAGAAGACCCUCCCUGCACAUGUCCAGUGAGGUUCUGCAUUGAGAAGCAGCCUAAAGGUCGAUACAGAGUGGGAGAUAAAGUGCUGUAUGUUAGGAUGCUGAAUGAUAAGCAUGUUAUGGUGCGUGUUGGUGGUGGGUGGGAGACGUUUGGAACGUAUCUGCUGAAGCACGACCCGUGCAGGAUGCCUGUUCUCACCCGGCCCGGACUCAAACCCUGCAAGCCCACCGUCAAAUCCCCCGGCAGCAAAGAGCCCUCACGAGACAGCUACCUGGUGGUGGGCACCCACUCUCGCCUCAGAAAGUAGAUCAGUGCCGUGCCAUCAUCAACCAUGUACUGGGUCAGGAAAUGAACGGACAAGGACUGAGAGGAAGCAUCAGUACUAAACAGUGGAAAAGAAGUGAAUUUAGUAUGUUUNACUCCUGGUGCAAAAAUUCAAGCAGUUCAGUUUGGUUUG
This 1346-nucleotide long non-coding RNA is filed under the name Astyanax mexicanus (Mexican tetra). RNAcentral describes it as "lncRNA (ENSAMXG00005018151.1)". Lineage: Eukaryota; Metazoa; Chordata; Actinopteri; Characiformes; Acestrorhamphidae. The record is from RNAcentral.